This is a long non-coding RNA of Oreochromis niloticus (Nile tilapia), 388 nucleotides long. RefSeq lists it as uncharacterized. The record is from RefSeq and is a predicted model, not a curated record. NCBI's taxonomy places the organism in Eukaryota, Metazoa, Chordata, Actinopteri, Cichliformes, Cichlidae. The transcript is spliced from 2 exons.
GGCACAGGCUUUCAAUUGAAAUCAGUUACACAGCGAUAAAAAGACACAAAAAAUGGCAAGAAGCUGUUGUAUUAUUAACUGCACAAGCUGGGCGAACGACAGCCGCGUGAAGCCGACGGGAAAUGCGAUUGGUUUUUAUCGGAUUCCGGCGAGGAAGAUAAAUUUUCCAAGCCAUGUCUCUGAAGUCACGAAGAGGCGACGGAUGGCCUGGAUUGCCGCUAUCAGAAGACCUAAUAUAACGUUCGAAAACACUCCACCUCACAUGUUAGUCUGCUCCAAGCAUUUCCACAAAGGCAAACCAGCCUACGAAAUGCUGGAAUGCGAUCCAGACUGGGCACCCUCUCUCAAACUGGGCCACACAGACUUUAAAGCUUCUACCACAGCGAGA